Molecule: long non-coding RNA, 901 nt
Organism: Mesocricetus auratus (golden hamster)
Lineage: Eukaryota; Metazoa; Chordata; Mammalia; Rodentia; Cricetidae
Exons: 3
Source: RefSeq, a predicted model, not a curated record
GCCCCCACCACCCCCACGCGGCAGCGUUAGCCCCGCCUUCCUCGGCCGCGAAGCCACGCCCCCUGGCGUCUCCUUCCGCAGCCAUGCUGACACCUUCGUUCCCUGCCCCUCCGCCUGCAGUAGUGUCUUUAAAAAAAAGAGAUUAACACGCCGUGGGCCUGGUCUUGCCUUUCACCCAGAACUUCAGCUUCUUGUUUAAUUUCCCAAGAUCGUAAUUUCUUUCUAACGUAAGGAUCUUCGGAAAGAAACCCGAGGGGGGUGGGAGGCAAAAUAUAAAUCACGAUGCUUAUGACUCAGUUUGUGACACAAGUGGAAACUCGAGCAACAAAUAGUCCUUUGAAAGACUCAUGCAAAAACAGAACACCUGUGGGAAAGAACAGAGAACAUCUUACUCUCCUAUGGCAUGUUCGGGAGACCAGUGGGAGGAGGUGGACCCAGGAAUAAUUCUGCCUCGUGUCGCUGCUAUACCUACUUACCAAAGACCAGCUUUUGGAGCACCACUGCAGAAUAACUGCGUUUUAAACUUUCUGCCUAACUCGGCUUCAGGCUUACAGCAUGACACCAAACUUCUUGAGAGACACCCCCUUCCUGCCACUCCCUCCUCCACAAUACAUUCUCAUCUCCACCAAAGCAACUUGGAUCCCUCUGAAAGAUUUACUGUCGGCACCGCAGACAAAUAAGUGAAUAGCCAACCAGCAGUUGAUUCUAAAGACAGGAUGCUCAUUUGCAUGAGUAGUUGCACCUCGUUUGCAUCCUAUUUGCAUGUCGUUUGCAUAUCGUGUCCACCCUGUCAGAAUGUAUAUAAAUCCUUUAUACUUUCACUUUUUUAAUUUUCUAAAAAGGUCUACACCCACACAUCCUGCCCAGACUGUCUGGUAAAAUUACAGGUUGUGUAUUCCUA